RNAcentral lists this ribosomal RNA (625 nucleotides) under uncultured archaeon. RNAcentral describes it as "bacterial SSU rRNA". It matches the Rfam family "Archaeal small subunit ribosomal RNA", at positions 146 to 774 of the family's 1478-position model. The record is from RNAcentral.
AUAAUACUCCAUAGAUUAUGGAAUCUGGAAUGAUCCAUAGUCGAAAGUUCCGGCGCUUAAGGAUCGGUCUGCGGCCUAUCAGGUAGUAGUGGGUGUAACGUACCUACUAGCCUAUGACGGGUAUGGGCCUUGAGAGAGGGAGCCCAGAGUUGGAUUCUGAGACACAAAUCCAGGCCCUACGGGGCGCAGCAGUCGCGAAAACUUCACAAUGGGGGCAACCCCGAUGAGGGAAUUCCUAGUGCUAUCACAAUUGUGUUAGCUUUUCUCUAGCGUAGAUAACUAGAGGAAUAAGGGCUGGGAAAGACGGGUGCCAGCCGCCGCGGUAAUACCUGCAGCCCAAGUGGUGGUCGAUUUUAUUGAGUCUAAAACGUUCGUAGCCGGUUCGAUAAAUCUUUGGUUAAAUUGGGGGGCUUAACCUUCCGUCUUCCGAGGAGACUGUCGAACUUGGGACCGGGAGAGGCUAGAGGUACUUCUGGGGUAGGGGUAAAAUCCUGUAAUCCUAGAAGGACCACCGGUGGCGAAGGCGUCUAGCUAGAACGGAUCCGACGGUGAGGGACGAAGCCCUGGGUCGCAAACGGGAUUAGAUACCCCGGUAGUCCAGGGUGUAACGCUGCAGACUUGGUGU